Molecule: ribosomal RNA, 252 nt
Filed under: uncultured bacterium
Lineage: Bacteria
Description: partial 16S ribosomal RNA
Rfam family: Bacterial small subunit ribosomal RNA
Source: RNAcentral
UACAGAGGUCUCAAGCGUUGUUCGGAUUCAUUGGGCGUAAAGCGUGCGUAGGUGGCGCGUUAAGUGAGAUGUGAAACCGUGUGGCUCAACCAUACGUUGUGUCUCAUACUGGCGUGCUAGAGGACAGCAGAGGCAAGUGGAAUUACGAGUGUAGCAGUGAAAUGCGUAGAGAUUCGUAGGAACACCAAUGGCGAAGGCAGCUUGCUGGGCUACUCCUGACACUGAGGUACGAAAGCGUGGGGAGCGAACAGG